This 384-nucleotide ribosomal RNA is filed under the name Triticum aestivum (bread wheat). Its description in RNAcentral is "partial small subunit ribosomal RNA". Lineage: Eukaryota; Viridiplantae; Streptophyta; Magnoliopsida; Poales; Poaceae. The record is from RNAcentral.
CCUUCUUGGGCAAUUGAGCAAGUCAACAAGCGAUGUCGUGGGGUUUUUUGGGAGGGAUCUGAGGAGAUACAUGGAGGGAAGUGUUUGGUCAACUGGCAGCGGGUAUGCAGGCCUAAGGAGCUGGGUGGACUCGGCCUGCUGGACCUAAAACGACAGGGCUUGGCCCUUAGGUCGAGAUGGGAAUGGUUGCGGCGCACUGACACGAGUCGCCCUUGGCAUGGGCUUCCCAUGACUAAGGACCCGCAAGUCCAAGCUGCCUUUGAUAGUUUAGUCCACUGGAGAAUUGGGGAUGGGACCAAGGCGCUCUUUUGGAAAGAUAUAUGGAUGGGAGGCGUGUCUGUUAAGGAGGUCGCGCCGGAUGUGUGCAGUGCAGUUCGCAUGUAG